GGACCUGCCCGGUGACUAGUAUGUUAAACGGCCGCGGUACCCUAACCGUGCAAAGGUAGCAUAAUCAUUUGCCUUUUAAUUGGAGGCUUGUAUGAAUGGUUUGACGAGAGCUAAGCUGUCUCUUUUUUAAUAUUUAGAAAUUAACUUUUAGGUGAAGAGGCCUAAAUUUAUUUGAGGGACGAGAAGACCCUGUUGAGCUUUAAUGGUUAUGUUAAAAUUUUACUAUCAGUUAGUUUAAGAUUAAUUAGUCUUAUCUUACAGAAAUAUUAUUUAUUUAAGUAAAAUAUUGUUUUAUCAUGAAUUUUUAGUUGGGGCGACUGAGGAACAAAUAAAGCUUCCUUUGAUUUUUAAUGUUGAUUAUAAAAUAAUGUUAACGGAUUAAGAGGAUCCAGUAUUUACUGAUUAAAGGAAGAAGUUACCACAGGGAUAACAGCGUAAUCUUUCUGGAGAGAUCUUAUCGAAAGAAGGGUUUGCGACCUCGAUGUUGGACUAAGAUAUCCUAAGGGUGUAGAAGCUCUUAAUGGUUGGUCUGUUCGACCAUUAAAAUCUUACGUGAUCUGAGU
Molecule: ribosomal RNA, 563 nt
Filed under: Diloma aridum
Lineage: Eukaryota; Metazoa; Mollusca; Gastropoda; Trochida; Trochidae
Description: partial 16S ribosomal RNA
Rfam family: Bacterial large subunit ribosomal RNA
Source: RNAcentral